This 439-nucleotide ribosomal RNA is filed under the name Xeroplana doumeti. RNAcentral's name for it is "partial large subunit ribosomal RNA". It matches the Rfam family "Bacterial large subunit ribosomal RNA", at positions 1825 to 2606 of the family's 2925-position model. The record is from RNAcentral. Lineage: Eukaryota; Metazoa; Mollusca; Gastropoda; Stylommatophora; Geomitridae.
GCUAAAUGGUGUGGUAUAUAUAUUUAGUUAGAUCUGCUCAAUGAUUAUUUAAAUAGCCGCAGUACUCUGACUGUGCAAAGGUAGCAUAAUCAUUUGGCUUAUAAUUGAAGUCUGGCAUGAAUGAAUUUAUGGGGAACAACUGUCCCUUUUAGUCACGUUGAAAUUACUUAAUAAGUGAAAAUACUUAUAAAUAAAUAAUAGACGAGAAGACCCUAGAAAUUUUAUAUAAUUAGUCUAUAAACUAUAUUAUUUUGUUGGGGCGACAGAAUAACAAAUAACUUAUUUUAUUAUUAGGAAUUAUAUUGUAAGAGAAAAUAAAUUACUCUAGGGAUAACAGCAUAAUAUAUAAAAGUUUGUGACCUCGAUGUUGGACUAGGAUUUUUAAUGACUAGAAGUUAUUAAAGUUAGCUCUGUUCGAGCAGUAUUUCCUACAUGAUCA